CCUACGGGAGGCAGCAGUGGGGAAUAUUGCACAAUGGGCGCAAGCCUGAUGCAGCCAUGCCGCGUGUGUGAAGAAGGCCUUCGGGUUGUAAAGCACUUUCAGCGGGGAGGAAGGCGGUGAGGUUAAUAACCUCAUCGAUUGACGUUACCCGCAGAAGAAGCACCGGCUAACUCCGUGCCAGCAGCCGCGGUAAUACGGAGGGUGCAAGCGUUAAUCGGAAUUACUGGGCGUAAAGCGCACGCAGGCGGUCUGUCAAGUCGGAUGUGAAAUCCCCGGGCUCAACCUGGGAACUGCAUUCGAAACUGGCAGGCUAGAGUCUUGUAGAGGGGGGUAGAAUUCCAGGUGUAGCGGUGAAAUGCGUAGAGAUCUGGAGGAAUACCGGUGGCGAAGGCGGCCCCCUGGACAAAGACUGACGCUCAGGUGCGAAAGCGUGGGGAGCAAACAGGAUUAGAUACCCGAGUAUUC
This 465-nucleotide ribosomal RNA is filed under the name uncultured Klebsiella sp. RNAcentral's name for it is "bacterial SSU rRNA". It matches the Rfam family "Bacterial small subunit ribosomal RNA", at positions 338 to 795 of the family's 1533-position model. Lineage: Bacteria; Pseudomonadati; Pseudomonadota; Gammaproteobacteria; Enterobacterales; Enterobacteriaceae. The record is from RNAcentral.